RNAcentral lists this long non-coding RNA (670 nucleotides) under Equus caballus (horse). RNAcentral's name for it is "lncRNA (ENSECAG00000049589.1)". Lineage: Eukaryota; Metazoa; Chordata; Mammalia; Perissodactyla; Equidae. The record is from RNAcentral.
CCUGGAGAGAGCUGAGUUCAGAGCAGAGUGUUCUGAUCGUCCAGGAGCUGGGUGUGUUGUGUUUCUCUCCUUAUUCCAGCUCGCCAGCCUCUAAGCAGCAGUGGGAUGGAGGAAGUUACAGUAUCCAUCUACAAAAAGGGAACCAUCAUUCUAAGCUUUCCCACCUGCAGCCUUUGCUGUGAGGCUGUGUUGAGUCAAGGCCUCUGAAACUGCUCCGGAAACUAAGUCACUCUUCAAAUGCCAGGUGCUCACAGUUCUCUACGAACUACGAAGACACGUCUAAAUUUUCCAGCAAAAAUUUCAACGCCUUUUAGAGUUAGGCCCGCCUUUCCUGAUCAUCUGCAGCUGCUUCACCAACAGAGCCUCUGUGUCGGCCAGUCCGCUUCCUUCAUUGUCCUUGAAAUAUGCCACGUGCAUUCAUUCACUCCAAAAUGUUCAUUGAGAUGAAGACUGAAACCCUAUAAUGAGAACCUUCUGUCUCCUGGGCCCAGUUCUAGAUGCUCAGGAUAAAAUGAUGAGAAAAUGAGACACAGUUCCUGCCCCACUAGAAUGGACAGAAUGAGGAGGAAGCCAACAUCAAGGAAGCAAAAAUUGCAAAUUGUGAGAAGCUCUGUGAAAGAAGAGAAUGGCUUUAUGAGAGACUGUGUGGGGGUUUCUUAGCCUGCUCCCC